Molecule: transfer RNA, 72 nt
Filed under: Camelus bactrianus (Bactrian camel)
Lineage: Eukaryota; Metazoa; Chordata; Mammalia; Artiodactyla; Camelidae
Also listed under: 1 other name
Rfam family: tRNA
About the family: Transfer RNA (tRNA) molecules are approximately 80 nucleotides in length. Their secondary structure includes four short double-helical elements and three loops (D, anti-codon, and T loops). Further hydrogen bonds mediate the characteristic L-shaped molecular structure. tRNAs have two regions of fundamental functional importance: the anti-codon, which is responsible for specific mRNA codon recognition, and the 3' end, to which the tRNAs corresponding amino acid is attached (by aminoacyl-tRNA synthetases). tRNAs cope with the degeneracy of the genetic code in two manners: having more than one tRNA (with a specific anti-codon) for a particular amino acid; and 'wobble' base-pairing, i.e. permitting non-standard base-pairing at the 3rd anti-codon position.
Source: Rfam by way of RNAcentral
GUGAAUAUAGCUCAGUGGUAGAGCAUAUGCUUAGCAUGCUUGAAGUCCUGGGUUCAGUCCCCAGUACCUACA